RNAcentral lists this ribosomal RNA (256 nucleotides) under uncultured bacterium. Its description in RNAcentral is "partial 16S ribosomal RNA". It matches the Rfam family "Bacterial small subunit ribosomal RNA", at positions 99 to 353 of the family's 1533-position model. The record is from RNAcentral.
CGGACGGGUGAGUAACGCGUGGGUAACCUGCCCUGUACAGGGGGAUAACAGUCAGAAAUGACUGCUAAUACCGCAUAAGACCACAGCACCACAUGGUGCAGGGGUAAAAACUCCGGUGGUACAGGAUGGACCCGCGUCUGAUUAGCUGGUUGGUGAGGUAACGGCUCACCAAGGCGACGAUCAGUAGCCGGCUUGAGAGAGUGAACGGCCACAUUGGGACUGAGACACGGCCCAAACUCCUACGGGAGGCAGCAUG